RNAcentral lists this ribosomal RNA (372 nucleotides) under uncultured bacterium. RNAcentral describes it as "bacterial SSU rRNA". It matches the Rfam family "Bacterial small subunit ribosomal RNA", at positions 29 to 429 of the family's 1533-position model. The record is from RNAcentral.
AACGAACGCUGGCGGCAUGCCUAACACAUGCAAGUCGAACGCGUGUAGCAAUACACGAGUGGCGGACGGGUGAGUAACGCGUGGGAACCUGCCCAGUGGUAGGGAAUAACUGCGGGAAACUGCAGCUAAUACCCUAUACGCCCUUUGGGGGAAAGAUUCAUCGCCAUUGGAGGGGCCCGCGUCGGAUUAGCUAGUUGGCGGGGUAACGGCCCACCAAGGCAACGAUCCGUAGCUGGUCGAGAGGAUGAUCAGCCACACUGGGACUGAGAUACGGCCCAGACUCCUACGGGAGGCAGCAGUGGGGAAUAUUGGACAAUGGGGGAAACCCUGAUCCAGCAAUGCCGCGUGAGUGAAGAAGGCCUUGGUUGUAAG